Molecule: non-coding RNA, 261 nt
Organism: Pelobates cultripes (western spadefoot toad)
Lineage: Eukaryota; Metazoa; Chordata; Amphibia; Anura; Pelobatidae
Source: the annotation of a GenBank genome assembly
UAGUCAAUAAGGGAAGCCAAGGUCAGAUACACAAGAAAUCAAUACAAGGAACACGCUUUCGGAUAACCAACUGGAAACCACGACAGGGCACUGAGAAAUGGACAAACUAGGUUUAAAUAACUAAAGGCAUUUCAUGAUAGGCUGAAGGGAAACAUGUGAUCAAGCUUGUGUGUAACACACCCAUAUUAAAUUAAUUGAUCUGGCCCUUUAAGGGUUAAACAGGAAACCCUUUAUUAUUCACUGCUGCAGCGGGCGGCGUCC